Molecule: non-coding RNA, 48 nt
Filed under: unclassified sequences
Source: RNAcentral
UGGGGCCUUCACGGCGACCGCCCAUCAGGCAGCUCGCCCAAGCGUCGC